This 734-nucleotide ribosomal RNA is filed under the name Salmonella enterica subsp. enterica. Its description in RNAcentral is "partial 23S ribosomal RNA". It matches the Rfam family "Bacterial large subunit ribosomal RNA", at positions 1 to 668 of the family's 2925-position model. Lineage: Bacteria; Pseudomonadati; Pseudomonadota; Gammaproteobacteria; Enterobacterales; Enterobacteriaceae. The record is from RNAcentral.
GGGUUGUGAGGUUAAGCGACUAAGCGUACACGGUGGAUGCCCUGGCAGUCAGAGGCGAUGAAGGGCGUGCUAAUCUGCGAUAAGCGCCGGUAAGGUGAUAUGAACCGUUAUAACCGGCGAUACCCGAAUGGGGAAACCCAGUGUGACUCGUCACACUAUCAUUAACUGAAUCCAUAGGUUAAUGAGGCGAACCGGGGGAACUGAAACAUCUAAGUACCCCGAGGAAAAGAAAUCAACCGAGAUUCCCCCAGUAGCGGCGAGCGAACGGGGAGGAGCCCAGAGCCUGAAUCGCAUGUGUGUUAGUGGAAGCGUCUGGAAAGGCGCGCGAUACAGGGUGACAGCCCCGUACACAAAAGCGCAUGUGCUGUGAGCUCGAUGAGUAGGGCGGGACACGUGGUAUCCUGUCUGAAUAUGGGGGGACCAUCCUCCAAGGCUAAAUACUCCUGACUGACCGAUAGUGAACCAGUACCGUGAGGGAAAGGCGAAAAGAACCCCGGCGAGGGGAGUGAAAAAGAACCUGAAACCGUGUACGUACAAGCAGUGGGAGCCCCACCACUAAGCCAGUGGUGAACUCCACAUACGCAUCCUUUGCUGAGGAUACGGUUAACGGAGCGCAAGCGACGUUCAACCGCAAAAGAAGCAGAGGGGGCUUAGUGGUGGGGUGACUGCGUACCUUUUGUAUAAUGGGUCAGCGACUUAUAUUCUGUAGCAAGGUUAACCGUAUAGGGGAGCCG